Molecule: ribosomal RNA, 492 nt
Filed under: uncultured bacterium
Lineage: Bacteria
Description: partial 16S ribosomal RNA
Rfam family: Bacterial small subunit ribosomal RNA
Source: RNAcentral
AGUGAACGCUGGCGGUAGGCCUAACACAUGCAAGUCGAACGGCAGCACAGUAAGAGCUUGCUCUUACGGGUGGCGAGUGGCGGACGGGUGAGGAAUACAUCGGAAUCUACUUUUUCGUGGGGGAUAACGUAGGGAAACUUACGCUAAUACCGCAUACGACCUACGGGUGAAAGCAGGGGAUCUUCGGACCUUGCGCGAUUGAAUGAGCCGAUGUCGGAUUAGCUAGUUGGCGGGGUGAAGGCCCACCAAGGCGACGAUCCGUAGCUGGUCUGAGAGGAUGAUCAGCCGCACUGGAACUGAGACACGGUCCAGACUCCUACGGGAGGCAGCAGUGGGGAAUAUUGGACAAUGGGCGCAAGCCUGAUCCAGCCAUACCGCGUGGGUGAAGAAGGCCUUCGGGUUGUAAAGCCCUUUUGUUGGGAAAGAAAAGCAGCAGGUUAAUACCCCGCUGUUCUGACGGUACCCAAAGAAUAAGCACCGGCUAACUUCGUG